RNAcentral lists this ribosomal RNA (270 nucleotides) under uncultured bacterium. RNAcentral's name for it is "partial 16S ribosomal RNA". It matches the Rfam family "Bacterial small subunit ribosomal RNA", at positions 524 to 794 of the family's 1533-position model. The record is from RNAcentral.
UACGGAGGAUGCGAGCGUUAUCCGGAUUUAUUGGGUUUAAAGGGUACGUAGGCGGCCUGUUAAGUCAGUGGUGAAAGUUUGCGGCUUAACCGUAAAUUGCCAUUGAUACUGAUGGGCUUGAGUACAGUUGAGGUAGGCGGAAUGUGUAGUGUAGCGGUGAAAUGCUUAGAUAUUACACAGAACUCCGAUUGCGAAGGCAGCUUACUAAACUGUCACUGACGCUGAGGUACGAAAGCGUGGGGAGCGAACAGGAUUAGAUACCCGCGUAGU